RNAcentral lists this ribosomal RNA (450 nucleotides) under uncultured Glomeromycotina. RNAcentral's name for it is "SSU rRNA". It matches the Rfam family "Eukaryotic small subunit ribosomal RNA", at positions 569 to 1024 of the family's 1831-position model. The record is from RNAcentral. Lineage: Eukaryota; Fungi; Glomeromycota.
AGCAGCCGCGGUAAUUCCAGCUCCAAUAGCGUAUAUUAAAGUUGUUGCAGUUAAAAAGCUCGUAGUUGAAUUUCGGGGUCAGUAGGUUGGUCGUGCCAAUGGUAUGCACUGGCUUUACUGAUUCCUCCUUCUUGAAGAACUGUAAUGCCAUUAAUUUGGUGUUGCAGGGAAUCAGGACUGUUACUUUGAAAAAAUUAGAGUGUUUAAAGCAGGCUUACGCUUGAAUACAUUAGCAUGGAAUAAUGAAAUAGGACGUUGAUCCUAUUUUGUUGGUUUCUAGGAUUGACGUAAUGAUUAAUAGGGAUAGUUGGGGGCAUUAGUAUUCAAUUGUCAGAGGUGAAAUUCUUGGAUUUAUUGAAGACUAACUACUGCGAAAGCAUUUGCCAAGGAUGUUUUCAUUAAUCAAGAACGAAAGUUAGGGGAUCGAAGACGAUCAGAUACCGUCGUAGU